GACAACUGCAUCCUCAGACAACAAAGAGGACCGACUCUUGAAUCUCUCUCUCGUUACUGUUAAGCAAGGUCCUCAAAGAAGUUUGUAGUUGAUUCAGGCAUCUGUCAGGGCUAGAGGUUGUUGUUUCUGUCCAUGGGAUCAAUCUUCCUGUCUGACCCUAAAGGACAAACGGAACUCUUGAGGAUGUGGAAGGAGAGAGAGAGACGGAUUUUUUUUUUCUUAUGCAGUAACAAGCUUGUGAGAAGGCCAGAAGAAACAUAUAGGAAGGAAAUGAGAAGGACUGAUGAUGAUGAGAUGAAGGAAUGGGGACUCAGAGGUUGCAGAUGUCAUGUGAUCCAGUCCAAACGCCGGCUUCUGGUCUCCUAUCAGCCAUGAAGCUUGUUGAGUGCUGACUGCAAUAUAGCUUUUGAAUACCUUGAAAUCACAUCACAAUGUAAAAUUCAGCCAGCCUAAACAACCCCUUACAUAUGAAGUGUAAAAGCUCAGUGGCUUAACUCCUCUGCUUUGUUUUGUUAUCUGUAAUGUCUCAGCACUUAUAUCAGGAUACAUAGACCUAAUGAGACACUUUCUGGUCUUAACCAGUGUUGGGGAAGUUAAUUUGAAAUUGUAACUUGUCAAGCUACAAGCUAAUCAUAAUUUGAAUUAUUAAGUUUAAAGAGAUACUUCACCCAAAAAUGAAAAUCCUGACUUCUAAGGAAGACAGUGGCUACUGGCAACUGUUUGGUUACCAACAUUUUUCAAAAUAUCUUCUUUUAUGUUCAACAGAGGAAAGAAACUCAUACAUUUUUGGAACAAUAUAAGGUUAGUUUUUAGGUGAACAAUCCCUUUAUCUAAGCUACUUUUUUGAAGUCCUUAGCUACCCUGCAAGCCACAAACAAAUCCUAGGUAGUUAUUUAAUAACUUAUAGGCUUAAUAUUAUUAUAUAAUCAUAGCCAUGUUUUUGUUGACACAGUUAUGGUUCUAGUAUCAACUUGACCAUGUAGAUUUAUACUAACUAAAACAAUGACACCCUAAUUUGUACAAAUGUCAGUGACUUGAAUCAGUGAAU
Long non-coding RNA from Cyprinus carpio (common carp), 1048 nucleotides. NCBI's taxonomy places the organism in Eukaryota, Metazoa, Chordata, Actinopteri, Cypriniformes, Cyprinidae. The record is from Ensembl.